GUAAAAGUCGUAACAAGGUCUCCGUUGGUGAACCAGCGGAGGGAUCAUUGCUGGAACGCGCCUCGGCGCACCCAGAAACCCUUUGUGAACUUAUACCUACUGUUGCCUCGGCGCAGGCCGGCCUUUUUUGACAAAAGGCCCCCUGGAAACAGGGAGCAGCCCGCCGGCGGCCAACCAAACUCUUGUUUCUAUAGUGAAUCUCUGAGUAAAAACAUAAAUGAAUCAAAACUUUCAACAACGGAUCUCUUGGUUCUGGCAUCGAUGAAGAACGCAGCGAAAUGCGAUAAGUAAUGUGAAUUGCAGAAUUCAGUGAAUCAUCGAAUCUUUGAACGCACAUUGCGCCCUCUGGUAUUCCGGAGGGCAUGCCUGUUCGAGCGUCAUUUCAACCCUCAAGCCUGGCUUGGUGAUGGGGCACUGCCUGUAAGAGGGCAGGCCCUGAAAUCUAGUGGCGAGCUCGCCAGGACCCCGAGCGUAGUAGUUACAUCUCGCUCUGGAAGGCCCUGGCGGUGCCCUGCCGUUAAACCCCCAACUUCUGAAAAUUUGACCUCGGAUCAGGUAGGAAUACCCGCUGAACUUAA
Molecule: ribosomal RNA, 578 nt
Filed under: Phomopsis sp. F102
Lineage: Eukaryota; Fungi; Ascomycota; Sordariomycetes; Diaporthales; Diaporthaceae
Description: eukaryotic LSU rRNA
Rfam family: 5.8S ribosomal RNA (bases 227-380)
Source: RNAcentral